AUACGGAGGGUGCAAGCGUUACUCGGAAUCACUGGGCGUAAAGCGCGCGCAGGCGGUCUUUUAAGUUGGAUGUGAAAGCCUACGGCUCAACCGUAGAACUGCAUCCAAAACUAUUAGACUAGAGUGUGGGAGAGGAAGGUGGAAUUAGUUGUGUAGGGGUAAAAUCCGUAGAGAUAACUAGGAAUACCAAAAGCGAAGGCAAUCUUCUGGAACACUACUGACGCUGAGGCGCGAAAGCGUGGGGAGCAAACAGGAUUAGAAACCCCAGUAGUCC
RNAcentral lists this ribosomal RNA (274 nucleotides) under uncultured bacterium. Its description in RNAcentral is "partial 16S ribosomal RNA". It matches the Rfam family "Bacterial small subunit ribosomal RNA", at positions 523 to 796 of the family's 1533-position model. The record is from RNAcentral.